RNAcentral lists this ribosomal RNA (917 nucleotides) under Monascus sanguineus. RNAcentral's name for it is "eukaryotic LSU rRNA". It matches the Rfam family "Eukaryotic large subunit ribosomal RNA", at positions 51 to 992 of the family's 3401-position model. The record is from RNAcentral. Lineage: Eukaryota; Fungi; Ascomycota; Eurotiomycetes; Eurotiales; Aspergillaceae.
AACCUGGAUAGACACCGGGAUGCCUCAGUAACGGCGAGUGAAGCGGCAAGAGCUCAAAUUUGAAAGCUGGCCCCUCCGGGGUCCGCGUUGUAAUUUGCAGAGGAUGCUUCGGGCUCAGCCCCCGUCUAAGUGCCCUGGAACGGGCCGUCGGAGAGGGUGAGAAUCCCGUCUGGGACGGGGUGUCUGGGUCCGUGUGAAGCUCCUUCGACGAGUCGAGUUGUUUGGGAAUGCAGCUCUAAAUGGGUGGUAAAUUUCAUCUAAAGCUAAAUACUGGCCGGAGACCGAUAGCGCACAAGUAGAGUGAUCGAAAGAUGAAAAGCACUUUGAAAAGAGAGUUAAACAGCACGUGAAAUUGUUGAAAGGGAAGCGCUUGCGAUCAGACUCGCCUGCGGGGUUCAGCCGGCAUUCGUGCCGGUGUACUUCCCCGUGGGCGGGCCAGCGUCGGUUCGGGUGGCCGGUCAAAGGCCCCGGGAAUGUGUCGCCCUCCGGGGCGUCUUAUAGCCCGGGGUGCCAUGCGGCCUACCUGGACCGAGGAACGCGCUUCGGCUCGGACGCUGGCGUAAUGGUCGUAAGCGACCCGUCUUGAAACACGGACCAAGGAGUCUAACAUCUACGCGAGUGUUUGGGUGGCAAACCCAUACGCGCAGUGAAAGCGAACGGAGGUGGGAACCCUUCGGGGCGCACCAUCGACCGAUCCUGAUGUCUUCGGAUGGAUUUGAGUAAGAGCGUAGCUGUGGGGACCCGAAAGAUGGUGAACUAUGCCUGAAUAGGGCGAAGCCAGAGGAAACUCUGGUGGAGGCUCGCAGCGGUUCUGACGUGCAAAUCGAUCGUCAAAUUUGGGUAUAGGGGCGAAAGACUAAUCGAACCAUCUGGUAGCUGGUUCCUGCCGAAGUCCCCUCGGGAUAGCAAGCCAGUAA